UACACAUCUUUCCUCUUGUUGUUCUGAGACUACGGCACCCAAUUUCUUUGAAAUUUUUGAUUGUGGAAGAAUCUAUUUUUGGUGCUCCCGUAGUAUUCGUACCAAGAUGGCGAACAACCUGAACAUAGUAUGUGUACCAGGUUAGGGUUAGCAAGUUGUGCGUCAUCUUGGCACGAAUACUAAGAAAGCGCCCUAUUUUUUUUGCUAGAAGGCUAUUCAUUACUUCUGUCUUUUUCAUAACUGUCCGUGGGCCGAUUAUUUUGAUUUCGGAAGGAAAAAGAUCUUUAGACCGUAUUUCAUGAAAGUUACGAGGCAACUUUAAAAACCUGAAGCAACAAAUAUUUACGAGCGAAGAUGGAGGGAACGCCAAAGCCUGAAUGCUAGAAUAACAGAUUUAAAUUUAAUGACGAUUCUUGAUAUUUCUCUGGAACUCCCCCCAGUCAACACCACACGAUCAAUUAUUAAAUAAUCUAUUGAAUCAAUUUCAUCAAAACAGAAAAAAAAUCACACAAUUCAGGAUCCUAUACAUGAAAAUGGCGGAAUGAGAGAAAAGUACUGAAACCCUCAUUUUCUGAAAGAAAAAUGAAGGAAUAAAUGAAAAAGCAAUGAAAAUAAGAUUCUUUCCACAUAAACCAAAGGAGGAGAGGAAAGCAUAUUAGAUUGUUUUAAUCAUGAUCACCGCUCAUCCUAUUACAAAUGUUUAUCGAGGAGAGAAAAGUUAAGACGGUUCUAUCAUUUGGCAAGCCACGCCCCUUUGACUACUCUUUUUCUACAGAAAAAGGGGAGGAAAAGUGGGUGAUUCCCCAGGAUUUUUUUUGCCCUUUGCAGAAAUAAACAAAUGAAAUACCCUGAAAAUUCAAGAAAACCGUGAAAUACAGCAGAAUUUCAUUUUUUAUUGGAAAAUAAUGACAAUUAAUCAUUUCGACUGAAUCAGCAUAAUCCUGUCAGCACCUUCAUUCUAUACAGCGGCAGUCAUUGGAAAUCAAAUAAAAAGUAUGAAAGAUUUAAGGAUUUGAGAAUAUAUGAAUUCUAAUUGUUGUCAGCAUCUCGCUGUGAUGGCAAUUCGUUCAAGCAUAGCCAUAUUUAUUACUAUUUUGAAUAAAUUCUGAAUUAACAAUUGCGCACACGGGAUAUCAUAUAUAUUCUGAUGAGAGCUCAAGUCAGGACAUCAGGAACACCCUGUAUAUCAGGAUGCAUUUCAAAUGAUGUCGUUACACUUGCAGAAUUAUGAACACUUUAUUCAGAUCAAAUUAUUCUGCCAGCUUUUAUUAUAAUAUAAACUGGACAUUCACACAAUAAUCAUAUUUUAUACCGGUAGGAACAAAUCUAUGGUUCAAUGCUGUAAAUUUUAUCAUCUAUUGUGCGAUAAAUAUCAACAACGUUAUUAAAUAUUCAAAAACAAAGAAUUAUUUGGAUCCUUAUAAUCAGUACGAAGUAUAUGACAUGGGCAAAUGAUUUGGCAAAUACAAGGAAAGUCAUGAUCGCACUUGAUCAGCAUAUAAAUUGGGUCUUGUCAAUUA
Molecule: non-coding RNA, 1520 nt
Organism: Styela clava
Lineage: Eukaryota; Metazoa; Chordata; Ascidiacea; Stolidobranchia; Styelidae
Source: RefSeq, a predicted model, not a curated record